RNAcentral lists this ribosomal RNA (406 nucleotides) under uncultured bacterium. Its description in RNAcentral is "partial 16S ribosomal RNA". It matches the Rfam family "Bacterial small subunit ribosomal RNA", at positions 30 to 526 of the family's 1533-position model. The record is from RNAcentral.
AUUGAACGCUGGCGGCAGGCCUAACACAUGCAAGUCGAGCGAGCGGCGGACGGGUGCGUAAUGUCUGGGAACCUGCCUGUUGGAUGGGGAUAACUACUGGAAACGGUAGCUAAUACCGCAUACCAUCAGCUUUGCCCAGAGGGGAUUAGCUAGUAGGGGGGGUAAUGGCGCACCUAGGCGACGAUCCCUAGCUGGUCUGAGAGGAUGACCAGCCACACUGGAACUGAGACACGGUCCAGCCUCCUACGGGAGGCAGCAGUGGGGAAUAUUGCACAAUGGGCGCAAGCCUGAUGCAGCCAUGCCGCGUGUGUGAAGAAGGCCUUCGGGUUGUAAAGCACUGUCAGUGGGGAGGCGUUACCCGCAGAAAAAGCACCGGCUAACUCCGUGCCAGCAGCCGCGGUAAUAC